Long non-coding RNA from Rhipicephalus sanguineus (brown dog tick), 544 nucleotides. RefSeq lists it as uncharacterized. The record is from RefSeq and is a predicted model, not a curated record. NCBI's taxonomy places the organism in Eukaryota, Metazoa, Arthropoda, Arachnida, Ixodida, Ixodidae. The transcript is spliced from 2 exons.
AGUUCAGAAAAAUAAGUAAAAUGAAGGUUGCAAAUGCAGAGCUUAACUGCUAAGAAAAGAAUGCCUGAGUUCGCCUCUUCAAAAUGGGAGCUGUUUCUUCUGCAGAAGUUUGGAUGUCAUGUUUUAAAUUCUAAAAACCUCUUCUGCGACCUUGUGCAGGUCGAUCUUGGCUUACGACUGUAAAUGGAAAACCAAAAGUGGCGGUGGCGGUGUUCUCUGUCAGAGAAACAGCAAAAGUACUAUCGCACAACGAAAUAUUGCACAACUGAAGCAUCGCCUGUGCCUCAUGCUGCUGUUUCAGCAAAGAUCAAGGUCAUCGCCCUUGGAGGGACUUUAUGCAUGGCAGCAUGGUUCGAGUUCCACACGGAGAAUCCUGAAGCUAAUUCUUCCAAGGCAGAGCGGGGCAUGCUGAAAGUUAUCAGAAGGCCGAAAGAAUAAAUCGGUGGUUCAUCUGCAUGUACAACCAUCGUCAAGUGUUAUCAUGUACUGUUUUUUGCAGCUGCAUAAUAUUAAACAGUCCGAGUCUGCCCCAGCAGCCCAUAUG